This 201-nucleotide ribosomal RNA is filed under the name uncultured bacterium. RNAcentral's name for it is "partial 16S ribosomal RNA". It matches the Rfam family "Bacterial small subunit ribosomal RNA", at positions 328 to 539 of the family's 1533-position model. The record is from RNAcentral.
ACGCUCGACACCUAUGGGAGGCAGCAGUGGGGAAUAUUGGGCAAUGGAGGCAACUCUGACCCAGCAACGCCGCGUGAGUGAUGAAGGUCUUCGGAUUGUAAAACUCUUUAAGUAGGGACGAAGAAAGUGACGGUACCUACAGAAUAAGCCUCGGCUAACUACGUGCUAGCAGCCGCGGUAAUCUGAGCGGGCUGGCAAGGC